AUUUAAAAAGGGAGGGGCAGUAAAGAGAGGAGAGCUCUGUGGUGCUGAAGCCAGAUGAAAUAACAGAGAUCACAUUUCCGUUUGGAUAUAUGAAGAUUCUUUUGGGGAUUUAACACACAAAACUGUGUUUUCAUGAAGGUCGGAUCAACUACCAUUAACAUCAGCGGAAACAAAUGUUAAAUCUAAGUAGCGUUUCAAUAGAUGAUCACUCCCACAACAAUGGACUCUGCCUUAAUUAUGCAGUCAUACAAAAGGUACGUUUCGCUCCUUAUUCUUUUUACCAUGGUCCAUUAUAUUUCUGCUUCAGUGACCCAUUACUCAAUUCCCGAAGAAAUGAAAGAAGGAUCUGUUGUCGCUAAUCUUGCCACCGAUCUGAGCCUGGACGUUAGAACUCUAAAACAGAGGAAGAUGCGCCUUGACAUCAUCGCCAACAAAAAAUACGUGGACGUGAACAAAGACACGGGUGAACUGUAUAUUGUAGAGAAAAUAGAUAGAGAACAUUGCCCUACAAAGAUGUCCGCAUCAUGUUAUCUCAAACUUGAGGUGAUACUUGAGAAUCCGUUAAGAAUUUUUAAUAUAGAACUAGAGAUUUUAGAUAUAAACGACAACGCCCCUCAGUUUAGAAGAGACGCCAUUCAUUUAGACAUUUCCGAAUCAACGUCCGCGGGAGAAAGAUUCUCUCUCAGUAAUGCAGUUGAUCCCGAUAUUGAAACUAAUUCAGUCAAAACAUACAUUUUAAGUAGCAGUGAGCAUUUCAACAUAGAAGUUCAAACUGGAAGAGAUGGGUCAAAAUUUGCAGAUUUGAUAUUAACAAAGGCUUUAGAUCGAGAGCAGCAAGCUGUUCACAAUUUAAUACUCACAGCUGUAGAUGGGGGGCAGCCUGCUCGAUCUGGAACGGCCAGUAUAAUAGUUCAUGUUUUGGACACAAAUGACAAUGCACCAAAAUUUAAUCAACAAAACUAUAACAUUGAAAUUAUGGAAAACUCCCCCAUAGGAAGCCUUGUCAUUCAUCUAAAUGCCACAGACUUAGAUGAGGGAUCUAACUCUGAUGUAACUUACUCUUACAGUUUAUACACUUCAGAGAAAACACAGGAAACAUUUCACCUGAAUCCCUCCACCGGUGAAAUCACUGUUAAAGGCAUGCUGAAUUAUGAGGAUUUCAGGAUUUAUGAUAUGGAGAUUAUAGCUACUGACAAAGGAGCCAACAGUUUGUCAGGACAGUGUACCAUCAAGAUUCUGGUAGAAGACAUGAAUGAUAACCACCCAGAAAUAUCUAUUAAAUCAUUUCAGAGUCCAGUCAAUGAAAACAUAGAACUAGACACAGUGAUAGCUGUGGUUAGUGUGAGUGAUAAAGACUCUGGUGAUAAUGGAGUGGUUGAUCUUCAUAUUCCAGAUAAUAUGCCUUUCAAACUGAGAGAGUCCUCUGAUAACUAUUAUGAGUUAGUGGUGUCAGAGCCCUUAGACCGUGAGAAGGUUCCAGAAUAUGACAUCACCUUCACUGUGACAGACAGAGGUUCUCCUCCUUUAUCUGACAAUGAAACUAUGACCUUAGAGCUGCUGGAUGUCAACGACAAUGUCCCACAGUUCCCUCAGUCUUUUUAUACCAUCCGUGUGAUGGAGAAUAACGCACCUGGAGCCCUGCUCAGCUCCCUCACUGCCUUUGACCCUGACCUCCAUGAAAACCAGUAUCUAGUUUAUUUCAUCCUGGAGAAGGAGAUAGCCAACACCUCCAUGUCCAUGCUGUUCUCCAUCAAUCCAGAGAACGGAAAUCUUUACGCACUCAAAACUUUUGACUAUGAGAUUGAGAAGGACUUUCUUUUCCACAUUGAGGCCAGAGACUCUGGCUCUCCUCCUCUCAGCAGUAACGUCACAGUCCACAUCAUCAUUGUGGACCAGAAUGAUAACGCUCCGGUCAUUGUGUCUCCAUGGCGAGCACAUGGCUCAGUGGUGGAGGAAAAGAUCCCCAGGUCCACAGAUAAGGGCUCUCUGGUUGCCAAGGUGAUAGCCUUGGACACAGACUCUGUGCACAACUCUCGGAUCACCUACCAGUUUCUGCAGGUGACCGACGCCACCUUGUUCAGUCUGGACCAGUACAACGGAGAGAUCCGGACUAUGAGGAUGUUCAGCUACAGAGACCCACGCCACCAGAGACUGGUUGUUGUUGCCAAGGACAACGGGCAGCCCGCUCUGUCUGCUACAGUCACCAUCAAGCUGUCCACAGUGGAGACUGCUGUCAAGGCCUACGCUGACAUGACUGAGGUGCCUCUGGCGUACGACAUCUUCAAUGACCUGAACCUGUACUUGGUCAUCGGUCUGGGCUCGGUGUCAUUUCUCCUGCUCAUCACCAUACUGGUCACCAUCGUGCUCAAGUGUCAGAAAACCAAGCCCAGCAAAGCGGCUCCUCCCUGCAGGAACAGUGUGAUCAGUGAGAGGAACUCCACCAUCGCAGACUCCACUCUGGUGUCCAACGAUGCCUACUGGUACAGUCUGUUUCUAGCAGAGACCAGGAAAGGAAAGCUGGUGGUCAGACAGCCUGUGCCAAAGGGAUCCAGAUACAUUGUGUCCAGUAUACCCAGAGGUACAGGACUGACAGACACGAGUGACUCAGCAGCCUCCACUCUGCAGGUACAAGUCUGACUUACAUUUUUCUUGCAUUCUUUAAAAUGCCAUUUAUUUUAAUUUCACUUCAUGCUGGCGAAACUUUGUUGGCCAACCUUUGUGCUAUUUGAAUGAAGGUGGGUUCUUUAGUUCAACCCAUCUGCCUGGUCAUGUGUUUUAUUCCUCCCAGUGACUGUUACAAAGUAAGAGAGAAAUCAAAUGCAAACAGCUGCAGCCUUAACAGUAUUUUUUUUUUUUUUGCCUGUCGUUGAAAAUUCAGCACCUUCCUCUCUAAGCUUUAAAAGGCAACGUUAAAAUCAGAGAAAGGAAGAAUAAACAAUUUUCACACAUGGGAGCCAUAGCAGCCUCCGCUAUUUGUGUGUGAAUGUGGUGUGAAUGGGUGAAUUUGACAUGUUAUGUAAAAGUGCUUUGAGUGGUCAAAAGACUAGAGAAUGCAAUAUAAACAUAGUCCAUUUAAUGCUAACAGUAUAAUAGAGACAACAGGUGAAAGAGAUAAAUGGUGAACAGACUGAUGUAAUGUGAGUUCAGGGAAGCACUGAAAUGCUGUGAUCAACAAUACAUCCAUCAGAUAUUCUCUAGAUUUGCGCAAGGAUGAAAGCACAGUUGUCCUGUCCGAGGGAAGAAAUCCAAUCCAAUCUUCAGGUUAUAACAUGUUACCUAUCCUUGAAUUCUUAGUAUCCAUUAUUUUUUAAUGUAAUCUUUAGUAUCUUUCCCUCCUCAAAAAGGCUCAAACAUGAUGUUGUAACUUGAGGCCGUACCCUUCUAUCCUGACAUUUACAGAUGACCAGCUGUGCUCCCCUAAAGUAUUUGUUAGACAGCAAGUUUGUAUUUGCUGUUUUAAAAAGUGUUUUUGAAAAAUACAAUUUUGCUGUUAUGAUUGAGGGACUGCUAUAGUGAUGUACAAUUAGUUUUUGGUGUUUAUAAAAAGUCAUUAAAAUAUUUAUAUUCUACGUGACUUUGGGUAAAGGAAUUUUUUUUAAAUUCUACCUGAUAAUUAAGUGAGAUAUUGAGUACAUUGACACUAUGAAAAAGCUUUGUAUGACUCAACCCAUAUUGGGUUGAUUUUAACACACCUCUGGGACAAAGUAGGCCCAAAAUGUGAUUAACUGAACCCAGCAUGUAGGGUUUACAAUUCGAGGAACACGCUGGUUCAUUUUUAUUGAUGGACUUAGUGGUACCAAGUGAAAACAAACAUGCAACUGGGGUAUUUAUUUCAUACAUCUGGCUGAGUUAAGGAAAUCCAGUGGUUAGCUGGUCCAAAUUGUAUUUGACCCAGGGGUGUAUUUAAAGAAAAAGUUUUUUACCCCAGAGUUUUAGGGUGUAAAUACAUAUUAUAUGAACAGAACAACAUCUUAACAUUCAUUAAUUCCAAAGUGCAAG
RNAcentral lists this long non-coding RNA (3999 nucleotides) under Xyrichtys novacula (pearly razorfish). Lineage: Eukaryota; Metazoa; Chordata; Actinopteri; Labriformes; Labridae. The record is from RNAcentral.